RNAcentral lists this ribosomal RNA (447 nucleotides) under uncultured bacterium. RNAcentral describes it as "bacterial SSU rRNA". It matches the Rfam family "Bacterial small subunit ribosomal RNA", at positions 330 to 793 of the family's 1533-position model. The record is from RNAcentral.
UCCAGACUCCUACGGGAGGCAGCAGUGGGGAAUAUUGCACAAUGGGGGGAACCCUGAUGCAGCGACGCCGCGUGGGUGAAGGAGCACCUCGGUGCGUAAAGCCCUAUCGGCAGGGAAGAAACAGACGGUACCUGACUAAGAAGCCCCGGCUAACUACGUGCCAGCAGCCGCGGUAAUACGUAGGGGGCGAGCGUUAUCCGGAUUCACUGGGUGUAAAGGGAGCGUAGACGGCCAUGCAAGCCAGGGGUGAAAGCCCGGGGCCCAACCCCGGGACUGCCCUUGGAACUGUGCGGCUAGGGUGCGGGAGGGGCAGGCGGAAUUCCUGGUGUAGCGGUGAAAUGCGUAGAUAUCAGGAGGAACACCGGCGGCGAAGGCGGCCUGCUGGACCGCGACUGACGUUGAGGCUCGAAAGCGUGGGGAGCAAACAGGAUUAGAUGCCCGCGUACG